This 402-nucleotide ribosomal RNA is filed under the name uncultured bacterium. RNAcentral describes it as "bacterial SSU rRNA". It matches the Rfam family "Bacterial small subunit ribosomal RNA", at positions 28 to 419 of the family's 1533-position model. The record is from RNAcentral.
GAUGAACGCUAGCUACAGGCUUAACACAUGCAAGUCGAGGGGCAUCAGGAAGAAAGCUUGCUUUCUUUGCUGGCGACCGGCGCACGGGUGAGUAACACGUAUCCAACCUGCCGACAACACUGGGAUAGCCUUUCGAAAGAAAGAUUAAUACCGGAUGGCAUAGUUUUCCCGCAUGGGAUAAUUAUUAAAGAAUUUCGGUUGUCGAUGGGGAUGCGUUCCAUUAGGCAGUUGGCGGGGUAACGGCCCACCAAACCAACGAUGGAUAGGGGUUCUGAGAGGAAGGUCCCCCCACAUUGGAACUGAGACACGGGUCCAAACUCCUACGGGAGGCAGCAGUGAGGAAUAUUGGUCAAUGGGACGAGAGUCUGAACCAGCCAAGUAGCGUGAAGGAUGACUGCCCUA